GAUGAACGCUGGCGGCGUGCUUAACACAUGCAAGUCGAACGGAAAGGCCCUGCUUUUGUGGGGUGCUCGAGUGGCGAACGUGUGUGUAACACGUGAGUAACCUGCCCUUGACUUUGGGAUAACUUCAGGAAACUGGGGCUAAUACCGGAUAGGAGCUCCUGCUGCAUGGGGGGGUUUGGAAAGUUUCCGCGGUUGGGGAUGGACUCGCGGCUUAUCAGCUUGUUGGUGGGGUAGUGGCUUACCAAGGCUUUGACGGGUAGCCGGCCUGAGAGGGUGACCGGCCACAUUGGGACUGAGAUACGGCCCAGACUCCUACGGGAGGCAGCAGUGGGGAAUAUUGCACAAUGGGCGGAAGCCUGAUGCAGCAACGCCGCGUGCGGGAUGACGGCCUUCGGGUUGUAAACCGCUUUCGGUUGUGACGAAGCGUGAGUGACGGUACCGGGUAAAGAAGCACCGGCUAACUACGUG
RNAcentral lists this ribosomal RNA (468 nucleotides) under uncultured bacterium. Its description in RNAcentral is "partial 16S ribosomal RNA". It matches the Rfam family "Bacterial small subunit ribosomal RNA", at positions 28 to 507 of the family's 1533-position model. The record is from RNAcentral.